UGCAGAGUAAACCGUUAGACAGUACCAGUGAAAGUAAAUCACAGCAGCUCCAUUUUGUGUCGAGGGGAAAAUAAACCAUUUCAGGAGUAAAAACACAGGUUUGAUUUAACACACCGAAGUUGGAGUGAAGUAAACGUGUGUCCUGCUGUAAUCUGGAGAAGGAAACAUGACCUCCAACAUGAGAGUGUCUGGAAAACUGGACAUAAAAAAAUAUGAGAGAAUGAUGGAGGGAAAGAGAUCAGACUCACCAGAACCCAGCUGUGUGUCCAUGAAGAGUGACGUGUCAAUGGAUCGUCCAAUUAACUUCAGAGACAGAGACAGUUCUACUGAUGUGAGGUCAGUAUAGUGAGGUGUUUUACGGCAGUGUUCCACCUGAUCAAACUCACUCGUCUCAUUAUGAAGCCCUUCAUGAGCUUUAUCAGGUGUUGAAGAAGUUAAAAAUCAAGGUAGGGCUGAAUCCUUAAAUAAAGUAUUCAUGGCUGAAUAUUCAAUACUCUCUCUUGAAUGUAAUCAGUGAUGUAUUCUGUUGCACUACUUUAAAAUAGUAACUUAUUCAGAUUAGUUUUUAGAAUGCUUUUAGAUUACAUAUUUUAAAGGCACAGUUGGAAGCAUUAUGAUGUGGUUUUGGUCAUUUUUGUCUCAUUUUGCUUCUUAUUAUUCAGUGAUUUGUGUUGGUAGCUUGCUGUUUCUUAUGCAAAGCCCUGCUAAAUAAUGAGUUUGUUAAUUACUUGUUCACUGCAUACAGUUAAAAGCUACGAAAUGGACUGACAAUACCAGAUAAAUCCCUUCACAUUCACACACAUUAGGUAUUAAGUAUUGUGUAAUAAAUUUAGCUUGUUUGCCUCGCACCUCCAGGGUUGGGGUUCAAAUCCUUCCUCUGCCAUGUAUGUGUCUCCCCAUGCUUCAGGGGUUUCCUUCCCAGUCCAAAGUCAUGUGUCGUAGGCUGACUGGCAUUUCCAAAUUGUCCAUAAUGUAUGAAUGGGUGUGUGAUUGUGCACUGCAAUUGGCACCAUAUCCAUGUCCUCACCUUGUGCCCUGUGUUCCCUGGGAUAGGCUCCAGGCUCCUCGUGACCCUGUGUAGGAUAAGCAGUACAGAGAAUGUAUGGGUGGAUGGAUGGAUGGAUGGAUCUUGGAUUGGUUAACAAUAUCUAUAGGAAUAAUCCGCGUAUGUUGUGAUCAGGUGUGUGGGAAGAUGCUUGAAGCAAGCUGGGGCUGCCUACCAAAAGUAAAAGUGUAAAUCUAUUUUUUUUCUCACAGCAUUAUAACUCGUCAGUCUUGAUCAUGACAACUGGUCUUAAC
Molecule: long non-coding RNA, 1299 nt
Organism: Pangasianodon hypophthalmus (striped catfish)
Lineage: Eukaryota; Metazoa; Chordata; Actinopteri; Siluriformes; Pangasiidae
Exons: 3
Source: RefSeq, a predicted model, not a curated record